Molecule: ribosomal RNA, 378 nt
Filed under: uncultured bacterium
Lineage: Bacteria
Description: bacterial SSU rRNA
Rfam family: Bacterial small subunit ribosomal RNA
Source: RNAcentral
UACGUAGGGUGCGAGCGUUGUCCGGAUUUAUUGGGCGUAAAGGGCUCGUAGGCGGCGUGUCGCGUCGGGAGUGAAAGACCGGGGCUUAACCCCGGUUCUGCUUCCGGUACGGGCAUGCUGGAGUGUGGCAGGGGAGACUGGAAUUCCUGGUGUAGCGGUGGAAUGCGCAGAUAUCAGGAGGAACACCGGUGGCGAAGGCGGGUCUCUGGGCCAUUACUGACGCUGAGGAGCGAAAGCGUGGGGAGCGAACAGGAUUAGAUACCCUGGUAGUCCACGCUGUAAACGUUGGGCGCUAGGUGUGGGGCCUGUUUCCACGGGUUCCGUGCCGGAGCUAACGCAUUAAGCGCCCCGCCUGGGGAGUACGGCCGCAAGGCUAAA